UACGACUACAUAUCAGGCAUAUCAAUAAGCGGAGGAAAAGAAACUAACAAGGAUUCCCCUAGUAACGGCGAGUGAAGCGGGAAGAGCUCAAAUUUGAAAUCUUAAAGGGUUUCCCUUUACGAAUUGUAGUUUAAAGAAGUGUUUUCUGUUGGAGUUUCGGUAAAAGUUCUUUGGAAUAGGACAUCAUAGAGGGUGAGAAUCCCGUAUUUGACCAUUAUUUCCAGCUUUGUGAUACACUUUCAAAGAGUCGGAUUGUUUGGGAAUGCAGUCCAAAAUGGGUGGUAAAUUUCAUCUAAAGCUAAAUAUUGGCGAGAGACCGAUAGCGAACAAGUACCGUGAGGGAAAGAUGAAAAGAACUUUGAAAAGAGAGUUAAACAGUACGUGAAAUUGUCAAAAGGGAAGCGUUUGACACCAGUGUUGUUUUCUCGAAAAUUAAUUAAAAAAGACUGGAUUUUGUGUUGUAUUGACUUUAUCAGCUUUCUGCACUCUUUUCUUGUCUUUUUUAAUGCACUUUUCGUUUAACAAGUCAACAUCAAUUUCUUUUGUUGUAAAAGGGUCAUUGGAAGGUGGCUUUCUUUUCGGAGAAAGUGUUUAUAGCCUUUGGCCUCUGCAAUCGGAGAGAUUGAGGUCUGCAGCGUAGAUCCUUCGGGGUUAGAUACAUUUGUGCUAAGUUAUAGCCUUUCAUAGACAACUUGUUGACUAUGAUCAGUCAUGUAGCUUACUCGCUUAUGCUAUUUUACCUACGCUUAGGAUGUUGAGUAGCGACAUACGCAC
This 774-nucleotide ribosomal RNA is filed under the name uncultured Neocallimastigales. Its description in RNAcentral is "partial large subunit ribosomal RNA". It matches the Rfam family "Eukaryotic large subunit ribosomal RNA", at positions 24 to 649 of the family's 3401-position model. The record is from RNAcentral. Lineage: Eukaryota; Fungi; Neocallimastigomycota; Neocallimastigomycetes; Neocallimastigales.